AGACAUCCAUCAGCAGCAAAACAUUCUUGUGCAAGGCUCCGGGCAAGCAGGAGUCAAACAUUCAAGUGCAAGGCUCAGUAUUUCAGCAUAUUCAGUAAAAGUUGAGCUUUUAUUUAGAGCCUACUGUGUGCCAGGCAUUGUGCUAAAUGCUGGGAAGACAGAGAAAGAUGAAGAAAAUGAAUGCCAGAGUUUAAAUGACAUGCCCAAGGUCACGGGUGCUCAGUAGCAGAAGACUUGGAAUUCAAGACCAGGUCGUCUGCCUCCAAACUCUGCUCUUUCUACUAGCCCGGCGGUCUCCAAAGUGGGGUCCUGGCCAACUGGAGAGCUGUGGGAUGACCCUAAAGAGGGUGUGACCAACCAGUCCGAGGGAGGGAGGGAAGAUCUAUUCCAUUCCACCCUCCACAAAGUAGCACAGGGCUUGCCUCCAGCAACCACAUUCCCAGCUCUCUGCACCCUCCAGAGGGCUGUACAAUCUUCCAGACACUCCCUUUUGGCCCCAGAAUGAGCCCCUCAGGGCAGUUUUAACCUAACCUUCACCAGGGCACCUGCUUCAGCAGCUGUGAAGGUGCCAGUGGGUAAAUUCUCCCCCUUACACUACCCCAGGGGACCCACAGACUGUUUUCCCAAGUCACCUGGUAGCGACAAGUUUCCUUUGGCUGGCUCUGAAUUGUCAAGUAUGGUUAAAAAAAAAAUGGUCAUGAAAAGAUCAGAAUUGUCCCUUAAAUCCUAUCUCUGAUGUGGGUAACAAAGGGUGAUUUGUGUGAGAACA
Molecule: long non-coding RNA, 769 nt
Organism: Vombatus ursinus (common wombat)
Lineage: Eukaryota; Metazoa; Chordata; Mammalia; Diprotodontia; Vombatidae
Exons: 3
Source: RefSeq, a predicted model, not a curated record